AUGGAAAAAGGCAACACUUCAUUUAAGCCAUUAAAGGAAAAUGCAUUGCAACUCCCCAGCGGAAGUCCAUUCGCUGUAACAGGAAAGGUUUAUUUGCUGCCGAGAGAACCAGACAUGGCUCUCACACUGCUAGGAGAAGCGUACUGCCUGGAACUGCCCACGCUGGCCAGGCACCACAGUGACCAUCUGCAUGAGUUAUUUUAUGACAGGCUGCUGCUGCUGCUAAGUCAGAAAUUAGGAGAGCAUCACUUUAGGUCCAGCAGAACACUUCCCAAAUUGCUUCCAGAGAGGAGACGGGAUCCUCCCAACCACGAGGGGAGCUAGAGAACCACAUGGCUACUUGUUCCCAUCAUGCCUCUCUGCCCUACACCAAGCUGAAGCUCCUUCCUGCCCCCAGCCACCCUUUCCCACAAUCUUAGACCCAUAUCGCCAUCCUGAUUCCCAUCUCGAUUCCUGUUCCCAUACCCCUUGGAACCACCUCUUACCCAACCUCUCUUCCUCUCUUCCUAUACUGGCUGAAAUAGCCACUUUUGAUGGCACCACACCAUACCCUCUUCUUCCACAAAGCCAAACAAAGAGCUUCCACCCUUGGGUGACACUUCCUAACAGCCCUUCUCUCCCAUUAGUUGAAGACCUUGUCUCCUGGCUCAUCUUCUUUGAGAUGCCAAGUCCAGCUGUCAUUCUGAGCGGCCUUAGAAGUCCCCAAGCACUCUGCCUAGUUGACUCGUUGUCCUCAUUCUAUAAGCUUCUUCUCUGCAUUACUGCUUUCCUCCCAAAGAUCCAACCUGGACCUUCCCAUCACCACUCAGAACUGCUCCACCUCUAGCCAGACCUCCAAACACCUCACUCCACCUCUUUUCAUCCUCUAUAAACUCCUUUCCCGUCAAACCUCUCUCAGAGCCUCACUGACUACACCAACGCCCCCAUUUAACCUGAUGCUCCAAUCUGCUGGUCCCUCUGUUUCCCACUUCUCUUGAGUCCUUUGUCUCUAUCUCCUUCCUCCUCCAUUUUCCACUGACCACUCAUUGGCCANNNNNNNNNNNNNNNNNNNNNNNNNNAUAUACUCACCCAGCCAAAUCCCAUCACCUCCUCUGUGCCCAUCUCCAGGUCAGUCAACACCAAGGAAAAAACCACAUAUUUGCUAAA
This 1146-nucleotide long non-coding RNA is filed under the name Capra hircus (goat). Its description in RNAcentral is "lncRNA (ENSCHIG00010028711.1)". Lineage: Eukaryota; Metazoa; Chordata; Mammalia; Artiodactyla; Bovidae. The record is from RNAcentral.